Molecule: long non-coding RNA, 659 nt
Filed under: Homo sapiens (human)
Lineage: Eukaryota; Metazoa; Chordata; Mammalia; Primates; Hominidae
Description: non-protein coding lnc-BBS10-3:1
Source: RNAcentral
AUAGCUAUAGAUUUUAUUAUUAUUUUUUGUUUCCACAUUUAAAGAAUGCUUGGAGUAGUCCUGAGAAGAGUUCAUAUUUUCAACAUUAGCUGGCUUGUUUACAUAUCUGUCUGAAAUAAAUAUAAUGUUUUGGUAAUUUUCAUUAAUUGAUAAAGGCAGGUGAGGCUUCUCAAACAGAAACUGUAUCUGAAGAAAACAAAAGCCUUAUCUGGACACUAUUGAAACAAGUCCGUCCUGGCAUGGACCUAUCCAAGGUGGUUCUGCCUACAUUUAUUUUGGAACCCCGUUCUUUCCUGGAUAAACUUUCAGAUUACUACUAUCAUGCAGAUUUCCUAUCUGAGGCAGCUCUUGAAGAAAAUCCUUAUUUCCGUUUGAAGAAAGUAGUGAAAUGGUAUUUGUCAGGAUUCUAUAAAAAGCCAAAGGGACUGAAGAAACCUUAUAAUCCUAUACUUGGCGAGACUUUCCGUUGUUUAUGGAUUCAUCCCAGAACAAACAGCAAAACUUUUUAUAUUGCUGAACAGGUAUUAGAAAUGCAUGUAUGGAAACAAAACUGAUCUGGAAGUUAUUGGAAUAUUUUUAUAGAAAAUAUUUACCCAGUAAACUCAAUAUUAUUUAGCCUUUCUUAUUUCUGAACAUUUGGUAAACAUUUAACCUUUUAA